This 253-nucleotide ribosomal RNA is filed under the name uncultured bacterium. RNAcentral's name for it is "partial 16S ribosomal RNA". It matches the Rfam family "Bacterial small subunit ribosomal RNA", at positions 524 to 776 of the family's 1533-position model. The record is from RNAcentral.
UACAGAGGUCCCAAGCGUUGUUCGGAUUCACUGGGCGUAAAGGGUGCGUAGGUGGCUUGGAAAGUUUGAUGUGGAAGCUCAGGGCUCAACCCUGAAAUGGCAUUGAAUACUAUCGAGCUGGAGGUUUGGAGGGGGGACUGGAACUCUUGGUGUAGCAGUGAAAUGCGUAGAUAUCAAGAGGAACACCAGUGGCGAAGGCGAGUCCCUGGACAACACCUGACACUGAGGCACGAAAGCCGGGGGAGCAAACAGG